CCGCUAAACCCCCAAUUUCUAUGGUGACCUCGGAUCAGGU
Molecule: ribosomal RNA, 40 nt
Filed under: Bartalinia sp. SYP-F-7162
Lineage: Eukaryota; Fungi; Ascomycota; Sordariomycetes; Amphisphaeriales; Sporocadaceae
Description: partial 28S ribosomal RNA
Source: RNAcentral